AAUGCCACUGACAAAUAACCCUUAUCUCUACUAUCUGUGAUAAAACUUCUCUUGUCACGACCCACUGUCACUCUGGGUCGAAUCACGGAACAACGAUGUUGAAGGGAGUGUUGAUACUCGCGUGGUGUUUAGGAUGCUUUUACACCUCAGCAAAUCCACUUGUUAAGCGACAAGACAUAUCUAAUUCCGAUGUGUGCCACACCAUUUAUCACGGCAAAUGUAUCAACACCAGGGAGUUCCAGUGCAAUGGAAUAGCCAUACCAGGGCUGUGUGGCAACGCAACUCACUUCAGCUUCACUGAUUCCGAUUUGACUGUUAUGCAGUGUUGCAAUGGUUGGAGCAUACAGGCGAUAGGACCAGGAUAAUAUGAUCGGAAUAGGAUCAGAUAUCGCUGGCUAGAACUUUCAAUGUAAGAUUCCCUCACGCCGUCUACCUCACUAUUACGGACCUGUUUUAUACAACUGUUGGGUCGCGUGUUCAAUGUCUCCACUUGUGAUAAAUAAUCUCAUUGAACGCUUAAAUUUAUUUUGAAGUUUUUUGUUUUCAAUAUACUGUUUUUUAAAGGUCGUACAACUAAAAAGAGAGGUAUAUUACUUA
Long non-coding RNA from Dreissena polymorpha, 597 nucleotides. RefSeq lists it as uncharacterized. The record is from RefSeq and is a predicted model, not a curated record. The transcript is spliced from 4 exons. Lineage: Eukaryota; Metazoa; Mollusca; Bivalvia; Myida; Dreissenidae.